GAUGAACGCUGGCGGCGUGCUUAACACAUGCAAGUCGAACGAAGCAUUUGCGACAGAUUUUUUCGGAAUGAAGUUGCUUAUGACUGAGUGGCGGACGGGUGAGUAACGCGUGGGUAACCUGCCUUGUACUGGGGGAUGGCAGCUGGAAACGGCUGGUAAUACCGCAUAAGCGCACAAUGUUGCAUGACAUGGUGUGAAAAACUCCGGUGGUAUAAGAUGGACCCGCGUCUGAUUAGCUAGUUGGUGAGAUAACAGCCCACCAAGGCGACGAUCAGUAGCCGACCUGAGAGGGUGACCGGCCACAUUGGGACUGAGACACGGCCCAGACUCCUACGGGAGGCAGCAGUGGGGAAUAUUGCACAAUGGAGGAAACUCUGAUGCAGCGACGCCGCGUGAGUGAAGAAGUAAUUCGUUAUGUAAAGCUCUAGCAGCAGGGAAGAUAGUGACGGUACCUGACUAAGAAGCUCCGGCUAAAUACGUG
RNAcentral lists this ribosomal RNA (481 nucleotides) under uncultured bacterium. Its description in RNAcentral is "partial 16S ribosomal RNA". It matches the Rfam family "Bacterial small subunit ribosomal RNA", at positions 28 to 507 of the family's 1533-position model. The record is from RNAcentral.